UACGGAGGGUGCAAGCGUUGUCCGGAUUUAUUGGGUUUAAAGGGUGCGUAGGCGGCCCUGUAAGUCAGUGGUGAAAUACUGCAGCUUAACUGUAGCAUUGCCAUUGAUACUGUAGGGCUUGAGUACAGAUGAGGUAGGCGGAAUUGAUGGUGUAGCGGUGAAAUGCAUAGAUACCAUCAAGAACACCGAUUGCGAAGGCAGCUUACUAAGUCUGUAACUGACGCUGAGGCACGAAAGCGUGGGGAUCGAACAGG
RNAcentral lists this ribosomal RNA (254 nucleotides) under uncultured bacterium. Its description in RNAcentral is "partial 16S ribosomal RNA". It matches the Rfam family "Bacterial small subunit ribosomal RNA", at positions 524 to 776 of the family's 1533-position model. The record is from RNAcentral.